AGCCAGACUCCUACGGGAGGCAGCAGUGGGGAAUAUUGCACAAUGGGGGAAACCCUGAUGCAGCGACGCCGCGUGAGUGAAGAAGUAUUUCGGUAUGUAAAGCUCUAUCAGCAGGGAAGAAAAUGACGGUACCUGAUUAAGAAGCCCCGGCUAACUACGUGCCAGCAGCCGCGGUAAUACGUAGGGGGCAAGCGUUAUCCGGAUUUACUGGGUGUAAAGGGAGCGUAGACGGUGAUGCAAGUCAGAAGUGAAAGCCCGGGGCUCAACUCCGGGACUGCUUUUGAAACUGUGUGACUGGAGUGCAGGAGAGGUAAGCGGAAUUCCUGGUGUAGCGGUGAAAUGCGUAGAUAUCAGGAGGAACACCAGUGGCGAAGGCGGCUUACUGGACUGUAACUGACGUUGAGGCUCGAAAGCGUGGGGAGCAAACAGGAUUAGAUACCCCGGUA
This 446-nucleotide ribosomal RNA is filed under the name uncultured bacterium. Its description in RNAcentral is "bacterial SSU rRNA". It matches the Rfam family "Bacterial small subunit ribosomal RNA", at positions 329 to 792 of the family's 1533-position model. The record is from RNAcentral.